RNAcentral lists this ribosomal RNA (468 nucleotides) under uncultured bacterium. Its description in RNAcentral is "partial 16S ribosomal RNA". It matches the Rfam family "Bacterial small subunit ribosomal RNA", at positions 28 to 507 of the family's 1533-position model. The record is from RNAcentral.
GACGAACGCUGGCGGCGUGCUUAACACAUGCAAGUCGAACGGAAAGGCCCUGCUUUUGUGGGGUGCUCGAGUGGCGAACGGGUGAGUAACACGUGAGUAACCUGCCCUUGACUUUGGGAUAACUUCAGGAAACUGGGGCUAAUACCGGAUAGGAGCUCCUGCUGCAUGGUGGGGGUUGGAAAGUUUCGGCGGUUGGGGAUGGACUCGCGGCUUAUCAGCUUGUUGGUGGGGUAGUGGCUUACCAAGGCUUUGACGGGUAGCCGGCCUGAGAGGGUGACCGGCCACAUUGUGACUGAGAUCAGGCCCAGACUCCUACGGGAGGCAGCAGUGGGGAAUAUUGCACAAUGGGCGAAAGCCUGAUGCAGCAACGCCGCGUGCGGGAUGACGGCCUUCGGGUUGUAAACCGCUUUCGCCUGUGACGAAGCGUGAGUGACGGUAAUGGGUAAAGAAGCACCGGCUAACUACGUG